RNAcentral lists this ribosomal RNA (774 nucleotides) under uncultured Neocallimastigales. Its description in RNAcentral is "partial large subunit ribosomal RNA". It matches the Rfam family "Eukaryotic large subunit ribosomal RNA", at positions 22 to 631 of the family's 3401-position model. Lineage: Eukaryota; Fungi; Neocallimastigomycota; Neocallimastigomycetes; Neocallimastigales. The record is from RNAcentral.
UACACGCUGUGACUAGCAUAUCAAUAAGCGGAGGAAAAGAAACUAACUAGGAUUCCCUCAGUAACGGCGAGUGAAGCGGGAAGAGUUCAAAUUUGAAAUCUUCAAGGUUCUACCUUGACGAAUUGUAGUUUAAAGAAGUGUUUUCUGUUGGAGUUUUGGUAAAAGUUCUUUGGAAUAGGACAUCAUAGAGGGUGAGAAUCCCGUAUUUGACCAUUAUUUCCAGCUUUGUGAUACACUUUCAAAGAGUCGGAUUGUUUGGGAAUGCAGUCCAAAAUGGGUGGUAAAUUUCAUCUAAAGCUAAAUAUUGGCGAGAGACCGAUAGCGAACAAGUACCGUGAGGGAAAGAUGAAAAGAACUUUGAAAAGAGAGUUAAACAGUACGUGAAAUUGUCAAAGGGGAAGCGUUUGACACCAGUGUUGUUUUCUCGAAAAUCAAUUAAAAAAGGCAGGAUUUUGUGUUGUAUUGACUUUAUCAGCUUUCUGCACUCUUUUCUUGUCUUUUUUAAUGCACUUUUCGUUUAACAAGUCAACAUCAAUUUCUUUUGUUGUAAAAGGGUCAUUGGAAGGUGGCUUUCUUUUCGGAGAAAGUGUUUAUAGCCUUUGGCCUCUGCAAUCGGAGAGAUUGAGGUCUGCAGCGUAGAUCCUUCGGGGUUAGAUACAUUUGUGCUAAGUUAUAGCCUUUCAUUAGACAACUUGUUGACUAUGAUCAGUCAUGUAGCUUACUCGCUUAUGCUAUUUUACCUACGCUUAGGAUGUUGAAGACUCUACAGAGAUA